This 506-nucleotide ribosomal RNA is filed under the name uncultured bacterium. RNAcentral describes it as "partial 16S ribosomal RNA". It matches the Rfam family "Bacterial small subunit ribosomal RNA", at positions 29 to 523 of the family's 1533-position model. The record is from RNAcentral.
AACGAACGCUGGCGGCAGGCUUAACACAUGCAAGUCGAACGGCAGCACAGAGGAGCUUGCUCCUUGGGUGGCGAGUGGCGGACGGGUGAGGAAUACAUCGGAAUCUACUCUGUCGUGGGGGAUAACGUAGGGAAACUUACGCUAAUACCGCAUACGACCUACGGGUGAAAGCAGGGGAUCUUCGGACCUUGCGCGAUUGAAUGAGCCGAUGUCGGAUUAGCUAGUUGGCGGGGUAAAGGCCCACCAAGGCGACGAUCCGUAGCUGGUCUGAGAGGAUGAUCAGCCACACUGGAACUGAGACACGGUCCAGACUCCUACGGGAGGCAGCAGUGGGGAAUAUUGGACAAUGGGCGCAAGCCUGAUCCAGCCAUACCGCGUGGGUGAAGAAGGCCUUCGGGUUGUAAAGCCCUUUUGUUGGGAAAGAAAUCCAGCUGGCUAAUACCCGGUUGGGAUGACGGUACCCAAAGAAUAAGCACCGGCUAACUUCGUGCCAGCCGCCGCCGUAA